This is a long non-coding RNA of Maniola jurtina (meadow brown), 171 nucleotides long. RefSeq lists it as uncharacterized. The record is from RefSeq and is a predicted model, not a curated record. The transcript is spliced from 3 exons. Lineage: Eukaryota; Metazoa; Arthropoda; Insecta; Lepidoptera; Nymphalidae.
AAGAAUAGUUAUAGGUAUAUCAAUAGCGUUGAAAUAGUAGUAAGUUAUGUACAUAUUAAGAGCGCCACCUCGCCAACAAACUGGCCCACCUGUUUGGCGAGUUAGUAAUGUUAUGAACCUUGUAGAGUUAAUAUGAAUAAAUAAAUUUAAAAAAAGAUAGAUAAUAAUUUU